Molecule: ribosomal RNA, 483 nt
Filed under: uncultured bacterium
Lineage: Bacteria
Description: partial 16S ribosomal RNA
Rfam family: Bacterial small subunit ribosomal RNA
Source: RNAcentral
AUUGAACGCUGGCGGCAGGCCUAACACAUGCAAGUCGAGCGGAUGAAGGGAGCUUGCUCCUGGAUUCAGCGGCGGACGGGUGAGUAAUGCCUAGGAAUCUGCCUGGUAGUGGGGGAUAACGUCCGGAAACGGGCGCUAAUACCGCAUACGUCCUGAGGGAGAAAGUGGGGGAUCUUCGGACCUCACGCUAUCAGAUGAGCCUAGGUCGGAUUAGCUAGUUGGUGGGGUAAAGGCCUACCAAGGCGACGAUCCGUAACUGGUCUGAGAGGAUGAUCAGUCACACUGGAACUGAGACACGGUCCAGACUCCGACGGGAGGCAGCAGUGGGGAAUAUUGGAAAAUGGGCGAAAGCCUGAUCCAGCCAUGCCGCGUGUGUGAAGAAGGUCUUCGGAUUGUAAAGCACUUUAAGUUGGGAGGAAGGGCAGUAAGUUAAUACCUUGCUGUUUUGACGUUACCAACAGAAUAAGCACCGGCUAACUUCGU